UCGAGCGCAUCGGCCCAACUGAUUGAAGAUGCUUGCAUCCGAUUGACGAUGGUUUACCGAUGAGCGGCGGACGGGUGAGUAACACGUAGGUAACCUGCCCAGAAGCGGGGGAUAACACCUGGAAACAGAUGCUAAUACCGCAUAGGUCAUUUGACCGCAUGGUCAAAUGAUUAAAGAUGGCUCUGCUAUCACUUCUGGAUGGACCUGCGGCGUAUUAGCUAGUUGGUAAGGUAACGGCUUACCAAGGCGAUGAUACGUAGCCGAGUUGAGAGACUGAUCGGCCACAUUGGGACUGAGACACGGCCCAGACUCCUACGGGAGGCAGCAGUAGGGAAUCUUCCACAAUGGACGCAAGUCUGAUGGAGCAACGCCGCGUGAGCGAAGAAGGUCUUCGGAUCGUAAAACUCUGUUGUUAGAGAAGAACACGGGUGAGAGUAACUGUUCACCUGUUGACGGUAUCU
RNAcentral lists this ribosomal RNA (461 nucleotides) under Ligilactobacillus saerimneri. Its description in RNAcentral is "bacterial SSU rRNA". It matches the Rfam family "Bacterial small subunit ribosomal RNA", at positions 62 to 480 of the family's 1533-position model. The record is from RNAcentral. Lineage: Bacteria; Bacillati; Bacillota; Bacilli; Lactobacillales; Lactobacillaceae.